Molecule: ribosomal RNA, 660 nt
Filed under: Escherichia coli
Lineage: Bacteria; Pseudomonadati; Pseudomonadota; Gammaproteobacteria; Enterobacterales; Enterobacteriaceae
Description: bacterial SSU rRNA
Rfam family: Bacterial small subunit ribosomal RNA
Source: RNAcentral
AAAUUGAAGAGUUUGAUCAUGGCUCAGAUUGAACGCUGGCGGCAGGCCUAACACAUGCAAGUCGAACGGUAACAGGAAGAAGCUUGCUUCUUUGCUGACGAGUGGCGGACGGGUGAGUAAUGUCUGGGAAACUGCCUGAUGGAGGGGGAUAACUACUGGAAACGGUAGCUAAUACCGCAUAACGUCGCAAGACCAAAGAGGGGGACCUUCGGGCCUCUUGCCAUCGGAUGUGCCCAGAUGGGAUUAGCUUGUUGGUGGGGUAACGGCUCACCAAGGCGACGAUCCCUAGCUGGUCUGAGAGGAUGACCAGCCACACUGGAACUGAGACACGGUCCAGACUCCUACGGGAGGCAGCAGUGGGGAAUAUUGCACAAUGGGCGCAAGCCUGAUGCAGCCAUGCCGCGUGUAUGAAGAAGGCCUUCGGGUUGUAAAGUACUUUCAGCGGGGAGGAAGGGAGUAAAGUUAAUACCUUUGCUCAUUGACGUUACCCGCAGAAGAAGCACCGGCUAACUCCGUGCCAGCAGCCGCGGUAAUACGGAGGGUGCAAGCGUUAAUCGGAAUUACUGGGCGUAAAGCGCACGCAGGCGGUUUGUUAAGUCAGAUGUGAAAUCCCCGGGCUCAACCUGGGAACUGCAUCUGAUACUGGCAAGCUUGAGUCUC